GCUUAAUUAAAGCAUAACACUGAAGAUGUUAAGAUGGGCUUAAUUAACCC
RNAcentral lists this transfer RNA (50 nucleotides) under Zu cristatus (scalloped ribbonfish). RNAcentral's name for it is "tRNA-Phe". The record is from RNAcentral. Lineage: Eukaryota; Metazoa; Chordata; Actinopteri; Lampriformes; Trachipteridae.